Molecule: long non-coding RNA, 1598 nt
Filed under: Oryctolagus cuniculus (rabbit)
Lineage: Eukaryota; Metazoa; Chordata; Mammalia; Lagomorpha; Leporidae
Description: lncRNA (ENSOCUG00000036284.1)
Source: RNAcentral
NNNNNNNNNNNNNUCCAUCACCCAUCUCUCUCAUCCAUCCAUCCAUCAGCCAUCUCUCUCAUCCAUCCAUCACCCAUCUCUCUUAUCCUUCCAUCAGCCGUCUCUCUCAUCCAUCCAUCACCCGUCUCUCUCAUCCAUCCAUCACCCGUCUCUCUCAUCCAUCCAUCACCCAUCUCUCUCAUCCUUCCAUCAGCUAUCUCUCUCAUCCAUCCAUCACCCAUCUCUCUCAUCCAUCCAUCCAUCAGCCAUCUCUCUCAUCCAUCCAUCACCCAUCUCUCUCAUCCUUCCAUCAGCCGUCUCUCUCAUCCAUCCAUCACCCGUCUCUCUCAUCCAUCCAUCAGCCGUCUCUCUCAUCCAUCCAUCACCUGUCUCUCUCAUCCAUCCAUCAUCCAUCUCUCUCAUCCAUCCAUCAGCCGUCUCUCUCAUCCAUCCAUCACCUGUCUCUCUCAUCCAUCCAUCACCUGUCUCUCUCAUCCAUCCAUCACCCAUCUCUCUCAUCCAUCCAUCCAUCACCCAUCUCUCUCAUCCUUCCAUCAGCCGUCUCUCUCAUCCAUCCAUCCAUCACCCAUCUCAUCCAUCCAUCAUCCAUCUCUCUCAUCCAUCAGCCGUCUCUCUCAUCCAUCCAUCACCCGUCUCUCUCAUCCAUCAGCCGUCUCUCUCAUCCAUCCAUCCAUCCAUCCGUCCAUCCAUCUGUCACCUGCCUAUCCAUCUAGCCUGUCAUCUGUCAACUAUUACCUAUGUCUGUAUCUAUCUAUCACCUGCCUAUUGCCUAUCUAUCUACCGCCUAUCACCUGCAUUGUGUAUAUCUGCACCUGUAUCUGUCCACCUGGAGCCAGGACUUUUUACCCUGACCUUGAACAUGGGCCCCCAGGCUCUCCAGCCUGUGGACACCAGGACCUGCACCUGUGGCUCCCCAGACUCCCGAGGCCUUGGCCUCCAUCUGAGAGGGAUGCCACCAGCCUCUGGUUCCAGAACAUCAGGUUCACGCUGCGCCACGCCACCAGCGGCCCUGCAUGUGCAGCCUGCAGAUGGACUGUCGUGCGGCUUCUCAGUCUCCACAGUCACAGGGCCAGUUCCCCCAGGAACCCCCUCCCUGCAGCCAUCUCAUCUACGUAGCUGCACAGCUAGACAGACAGAUGACAGUUGGAUGGACGGAUGGAUGAUGGAUGAUGGAUGAUGGGUGGAUGGAGAGACAGACAGAUGGUCAGGAACCCCCUCCCUGCAGCCGUCUCAUCUACAUAGCUACACAGCUAGACAGACAGAUGACGGACGGAUGGAUGAUGGACGGAUGGAUGAUGGAUGGAUGGAUGAUGGAUGGAUGAUGGAUGGGUGGAUGGAUGAUGGAUGGGUGGAUGGAUGGAUGGGUGGAUGAUGGAUGGAUGAUGGAUGGGUGGAUGGAUGAUGGAUGGGUGGAUGGAUGGAUGGGUGGAUGAUGGAUGGAUGAUGGAUGGGUGGAUGGAUGAUGGAUGGGUGGAUGGAUGGAUGGGUGGAUGAUGGAUGGAUGAUGGAUGGGUGGAUGGGUGGAUGGGUGGGUGGAGAGACAGACAGAUGGUCAGGAACCCCCUCCCUGCAGCCGUCUCAUCUACAUAGCUCAACGA